UGGACAUGACCAGAUUCUUGGGCUUGGUGUUUUGAGCGCCGUGCUUCACCAGCAGCAGUUCACGAAGAUAUCAUAUCGCACGAUUGUCCGCUUGGCUCAUUUUGCCAGGGAGCUUCACUUUUCGCUUUUGCCAAGUCCAAUCACUUCUCUAAGGAUCUGGCCAACAAAAAAAAAAAAGAGCUACGCCUCAUAAUACAAAGCUCUUAGCUUCCGUUUGCCAUCUUUUGCAUUUGGUGAUCUCCGUGUCUAUGAAUCAAGCUAUGAGAUUAAAGUUUUGCAAAAGGCGGCUCAAAACUGAUAUCAUCACCGCCUC
RNAcentral lists this small RNA (313 nucleotides) under Histoplasma capsulatum var. duboisii H88. RNAcentral's name for it is "Histoplasma capsulatum H88 hypothetical RNA". Lineage: Eukaryota; Fungi; Ascomycota; Eurotiomycetes; Onygenales; Ajellomycetaceae. The record is from RNAcentral.